AGAAUCAACGCUGGCGGCGUGCCUAACACAUGCAAGUCGCACGAGAAAGGGGAGCAAUCCCUGAGUAAAGUGGCGCACGGGUGAGUAACACGUGAAUCAUCUACCUCCGAGUGGGGAAUAACCUAGAGAAAUCUGGGCUAAUACCGCAUAACACUUACGAGUCAAAGCAGCAAUGCGCUUGGAGAGGAGUUCGCGGCCGAUUAGCUAGUUGGCGGGGUAAUGGCCCACCAAGGCGAUGAUCGGUAUCCGGCCUGAGAGGGCGCACGGACACACUGGAACUGAAACACGGUCCAGACUCCUACGGGAGGCAGCAGUGGGGAAUUUUGCGCAAUGGGGGAAACCCUGACGCAGCAACGCCGCGUGGAGGAUGAAAUAUCUUGGUAUGUAAACUCCUUUCGAUGGGGAAGAUUAUGACGGUACCCAUAGAAGAAGCCCCGGCUAACUUCGCGCCAGCAGCCGC
This 460-nucleotide ribosomal RNA is filed under the name uncultured bacterium. RNAcentral describes it as "SSU rRNA". It matches the Rfam family "Bacterial small subunit ribosomal RNA", at positions 26 to 518 of the family's 1533-position model. The record is from RNAcentral.